CCUGGAGCCGCUGGUGGGAGGCAGGGGAGUCCCUGACUGGCUGCUUGCUUUGGGAGCAUGAGGGGCCUGCACAGCUCCCUGGAGCUCCCGGUGGCUACUUGGACCCUGCCAACCAGCCCCCUGCCCCUGCCAUGGGACCUCAUAGGACAAGGGGGCCAGACAGUCCCAGCCCCCACCUUCCCAGAGAUGCCUGGAACGGUCCAGGGAGGAGGAACCCCACCACCAGCUCAGGAGCGCAUGACACUGGAGGAGCUGCAUUAAAAACUCAUGAGAUGCAGCAAAGCAGAGCACAGGGGCAGCAGCGUCAUCCUGGCACCUUCAGGAAGGCUGGACGCCAAGGGGCUGGGCGUCCCGCUGCAAAAGCUGGAAGCCUGGGAGAACCAGCCCGACUACCGCAGGAGGAAGGACGCCAUAAAGAGCAGAAAUUAAUGACAUGCGUGUGCCGGGGUGCGUACAACACAGCUGUUGGAAGUGUCCUGUCUGUGGAGAUGGUGCCAAACUUGCUGAACUGUUUACCUAUUUAUGGCUGAAGUGUCAGGAUGUCUGUAAGUUACUGCAUUUCUUAAAGAAACCUCAGUCCUUGCUCUGAAGUCCUUCGACUGAUUGGAUGAGGCCCACCCACCCUGGGGAGGACUGACCUGCUUUACUCAAAGUCUACAGAUUUCAGGGCUAAUCUCAUCUGAAAAAUACCCUCACAGGAACUCCCAGACGGGGGUUUGACCAAACACCUGGGCACCAUGGCCUUGCCCAAGUGACGCAUCAAAUGAGCCGUCACAGUGGAGAUGUGUGUUCAUUAUCUCAGUCCUCCUGCUUUUUUUCUGUAUUAAAAUUUUCAUUAAAAGGGGAAAACAAA
Molecule: long non-coding RNA, 853 nt
Organism: Manis javanica (Malayan pangolin)
Lineage: Eukaryota; Metazoa; Chordata; Mammalia; Pholidota; Manidae
Source: RefSeq, a predicted model, not a curated record